Molecule: non-coding RNA, 45 nt
Organism: Schistosoma rodhaini
Lineage: Eukaryota; Metazoa; Platyhelminthes; Trematoda; Strigeidida; Schistosomatidae
Source: Rfam
ACAUAGCUGACGAGUCCCAAAUAGGAAGAAAGGCGCGUCCUGGAU